RNAcentral lists this transfer RNA (75 nucleotides) under candidate division WWE3 bacterium RIFCSPHIGHO2_01_FULL_43_9. RNAcentral describes it as "tRNA-Cys". It matches the Rfam family "tRNA". From Rfam's summary of the family: Transfer RNA (tRNA) molecules are approximately 80 nucleotides in length. The record is from RNAcentral. Lineage: Bacteria; candidate division WWE3.
GGCCUGAUAGCCAAGUGGUAAGGCAGGGGUCUGCAAAACCCCUAUACGCCGGUUCGAUUCCGGCUCAGGCCUCCA